This 413-nucleotide ribosomal RNA is filed under the name uncultured bacterium. Its description in RNAcentral is "bacterial SSU rRNA". It matches the Rfam family "Bacterial small subunit ribosomal RNA", at positions 505 to 916 of the family's 1533-position model. The record is from RNAcentral.
GUGCCAGCCGCCGCGGUAAAACGUAGGAGGCGAGCGUUAUCCGGAUUUACUGGGUGUAAAGCGCGUGCAGGCGGAUCGGAAAGUUGGAUGUGAAAGCUCCCGGCUUAACUGGGAGAGGUCGUUCAAAACUACCGGUCUUGAGUACAGUAGAGGGAAGUGGAAUUCCGGGUGUAGUGGUGAAAUGCGUAGAUAUCCGGAGGAACACCAGUGGCGAAAGCGGCUUUCUGGACUGUAACUGACGCUCAGACGCGAAAGCUAGGGUAGCAAACGGGAUUAGAGACCCCGGUAGUCCUAGCCGUAAACGAUGUAGACUUGGCGUUAGCGGGUUUAAAUCCGUUAGUGCCGAAGCAAACGCGAUAAGUCUACCACCUGGGGACUACGGCCGCAAGGUUAAAACUCAAAGGAAUUGACGG